UUUUCAGAACGGAAACUUUAAUUCAGGAAAAAAGAAGGUGGCAAGGAGUGAAACUCAAAUAAGAUACCAUGUGUGCCUAUGAGGGAAUAUGAACAACAUUUUCAGGAAAGUAAGAACAAAGUGAAGCUACAGUGAAAUGAGUAGGGACAGCAGGGUGUAGAAGUACAGGAGGUGCUCACUAACAGCCUCAUCGGGCCCCGAGGGACAGGGUCACUCAGUCACUCAAACCACUUGUUUGAGGUACAACAAAGGACUGCAAAUAUUAUAAGCUGCUUGAUGUAUAGAACUGGAGCUUCAUAAUCAUUCUGAAUUCCAGAGCCUUAUAAUACAAAAUGCUAGCUAAGUACUGUAAAAUGAUGUGAGUGUCCUGUAUUUGGCAAUCAGCAGCAAGAGGUAGGUGUAUUACUUGCUACUGGCUGCUGAAACAGUAUACUUUCUAUAAACUUAGAUAUAUAAAACAGCGCAGGUUUACUGUCAUACAGUUUGGAGGUCACAAAUCUGAAGUCAGCUCAUUUUGUUAAACGCAAUAUCAUGUUAUUUUUUGGAUGUUAUUUUCAGGGGAAACCCAUCCAUGUUUUAGAGGCUACCACAUCCCUUAGUCCAUAGCCCCUUCCACUCUGAAAGCCAGAGGAGACUGAUCAUAUUUUUUCUUACAAAGGAUCACAGGCAUUGGCUUUUGCCCUCUUCCUCAUUCAAAGAACUCUUUUGAGAACACUUGUGGAUAGAAUUGGUUUGUGUGAUAUGAACUGCUUUAGAAGACUAGUAGUGGGAGAGCGGCUCUUGUGUGUUCUAUUUAGUAUAUACUCUCUCAUAAAACCCAGAGUGUUUUCUCUUUCCUAAAUGCUGUCAGCUCUUUAGCAACCUAACAUUUUUUUUUUAUGGUUUUAGAGCUUUAUUGUAGAAAGGCAGGGGGAAAGAGACAAGGUAGAGAAAAGGAGGGCUAGAGCGUAAGAAAGAUGAGAGCUUAGAGUCCUUUUAUCUGUAACUUAUAUUCCCCCUUGCCAGGAAUCAUCCAUAGUUCCAGCUUGAGGGGAUUGAAGUGAGGGAAACUCUAGUGGGGAGGACAUUUUUUCCCUGCUAAGAAUGGAAUUUGAAGUAUUGUAUAUAAUUCUUGGGAAUGUUACUGGUCCCCAUCUCCACCCCUUCUGGUGGCAUAGAAAGCACAUGUCCAGGCAGCAAAUGGAAGGAACAUACUUUGUUUGUUUUUUCUCAGACAGUGAUUUAACUCAUGGCAUGUUUUUGAAUGAUGAGCCAUGGUCUGAUCUCUGCUUUAGGAAGAGUUGUAUAUUCUUGCAGGAGAAAUUAUCAGGUUGACCUCAAUUUCUUGCCACUGUGCAGAGACUAGAGAACCAUGGAAGUGACAGUCUGUGUAGAUACAUGAAGUGUUAAGAAUUCUAUGUGGUUAUAGUCAUAGGACUUAAUAUCUGGUGGGUAGAAUUCUGUGGGUGGUGGGUGGAGGAAGAGAGUCCAAGAGGUCAGUGUUUGGAACCUGGAGGCAAAGGGCACCAGUUGGUAAGUCAGAAGACUGAAGAGAACUUAAGGUUGGAGUAAGUAUACCUCUGAAAUAAGAAGUUCUGGAUACCCAAGUAAAGCUGCAAAUGAAGGCUGCUUUAGUCACUGUUCUGUUGCCAUGAAGAAACACCAUGACCAUGGCAACUCUUAUAAAAAGAAAGAAUUUAAUUUACUUUCAGAGGUUUAGUCCUUUAUCAUCAUGGCAGGGUGGUUGGUGGCAUGCAGGCAGACAUGAUGCUGGACAAGUAGCUGAGAUUUCUAAAUCCAGAUAGGAAGCCGGAAGAGGGAGCAUGGGCUUUUGAAACUUCCAAGCUAGCACACUUUCUCCAACAAAGGUCACACCUACUCCAAUAAGGCUAUAUGACUCCCUAAUUCUUCUCAAGUAGUUCCACAAUGACUAAGCAUUUAAAUAUAUGAACCUACAGGGACCAUUCUUACUCAAACCACCACAAAGCCCAUGGAGGAAAUAGGAGCUUCAAAAAAAGAUUUAGUGUUACCACCAUAACAGUUAGGGUUAAGACAAUGGUAGUGAAAUGAUGAUGGUAGUGAAAAGAGGGCCAAGGACCUCACCUUCAGUUUAGAAAUAUGGGAGAUGAAGAAGUAAUCCUAAAGCAAUAUGACAACAAUUUAAAACAAUAUAAAACAAUUGCAUUGUUCCCAUACUGACUUGUUUUAUACAUGGUGACUGGGCCAAACCCCAGUGUAGUCAGAGGUUGCUUGGAAUGGGGAGUCCACGUGUAAGUCUCCAAGGGCUCUGUCUUUGAAUGCAGUGGCUAUUACAUAAGGCACAAAUGGAGGCGGUUCUGAAACAGCAAUGCCAGAUGGUUCUGGGAAGUAGGCAGGUCGAGGCUCACUGUUGCAUCUGUAGAGUUUAUUGAGGUUAUUGUUUUAACACAACAGAUGUAGAAAGCUCCUUUGGUGGUUCACAUGGUUCUAAUCUGGGGCCUCUUUUUCUCAUCAAUGUUGUCAUAUUUAAGAAGUCCUAGUGUCUGUGUAGAGACAUAUGCUCAGGACUUGACUUUUCCUAGUUGGUUCAGCAAAAACCUUCACCAUCUUGGUUAUUGACCAAGUAAACAUAUGGUGACAAUGUGAUCCAUUAUCCAAAUAUAGACAGUUUUGAAAUAGAAUCACUUAAUAAUGAUUCUUCUGUCAUUAAUGUCAACUUCUGAAAUGGCAAGGCUUUGUGAUAUUUUUAUAGUUUCUUACAACUGUAAUAUUUUGAUCAGUGUCUGGUAUGAUAAAAUAUUGUUUCUCUAAUAAGCUGACUUAUUUGUGCCUCAGAGGCUAAGCUCUCAAGAGUGUUAAAAAAAAAGGUGGUGUUUACUUCUCAGAGUUACUACCCUUCCAACUUGCAGAAUACUGAGUCCAUGUGUUUCUACACUAAACUUACUUGCUAAAAUUUAAGUAGACUCCAUAUAUACCAAAUGACUACUCCUUAUGUGCAGGACUUGAGAUAAUAGGGGGAGUCCAAACAUAUCCUACUGGGACUUGAGAUAGCUCAGUGGUCAAGAACAUUUCUUGUUCUUCCAGAGGACUCAGGUUCACACCAUCCAUAACCGCAGUUCCAAGGCAUCUGACACCCUGUGCUAACCCCCGUGUGUACUAGGCAUGCAUGUGGUGUACAUACACAUGCAUACAGGCAAAACACUCAUAUGUGCUAAAUAAAACCUAAAACCAAACAAAUUAAAGAGACAGAAAGACAGAGAUGGAAGCUUGCUUUAUUUUUAGCCAGGAAAGCAGUAGAGAAGACAUUUGCUGUCAAGAAAACAUUGCCUUUGCUGUAUUCCUUUUGUCAAAGGAACCUAAGUCACUGGGUUUUUGUCUGAGAGAACGGGAUUCAAUUAGUCACUCUGUUCACACAGAUAAGAGGAAGAGCAGACACAGGGAAGAGCCUAUUCAGGCAGUUGGCUCUUGUAUAACCAGAACAUACUGCAAUUCAAGUUUGAGGCCUCUGAUUCUCAUAUUGUAAUGAUUGUGUUUCUAGACUGAAAUGUUAGGGUUUUUCCUUCUGAAAUUCCCAACCCAAAUUCAUGACAAUGUUUUAAUGCUAGAUGUUUCAAAAUUAUUUCUUAAGGAAUCUGGACAAAUUUUAAUGAACCCACCAGAUAUUGUUAACAGUCUUAUGUAUAUAGACUCAUGAAUGUGACUAUUUUGUAAAUAGUCAGAUCUUUGUGUAAUAAAUGGAAAUAUUAUUUAAACAUCGCCAUAGAAUACAGUUUCAUUGUGUAGUAUGGUCUUGCUCUUUAGGUAUGCUUUUCUGAAGCAUUAGAUUAUGAAAGCCAAGCUUUGGGUUUUACUGUAUAGGUAAUCCACACAAUGUUUUGAUACC
RNAcentral lists this long non-coding RNA (3841 nucleotides) under Mus musculus (house mouse). Its description in RNAcentral is "long non-coding RNA chrX:77575001-77578842". Lineage: Eukaryota; Metazoa; Chordata; Mammalia; Rodentia; Muridae. The record is from RNAcentral.